AUGGCCACCUGCCUCUCUGAUAUGAUUAGUGACCAUUCUGUAGAUUUCCUGGGUCUGCAAGAGACCAUGAAGAAAAACUUUUCCCCUCGUUGUUUGAGGAAAAUUGAUCCCUUUAGCAUUUUCAGUUGGAACUGGACUCCCUCUGUUGGGAAGUCCGGGGGUAUCUUAUGUGGUAUUAGGAAUGAUAAUCUGGAUAUCGUCUCCUGUGAUAAGGGCAAACAUAUAUUACAGCUAGUGCUGUACGAUAAGAAGAAGAAAACCAAUUGGGGUCUACUAAUAGUCUAUGGAUCUGCUCAUGAGGAAAUGAAGGAAGAAUUCCUUAUUGAGCUUGCCACGAUGUGUGGCUGU
RNAcentral lists this ribosomal RNA (348 nucleotides) under Triticum aestivum (bread wheat). Its description in RNAcentral is "partial small subunit ribosomal RNA". The record is from RNAcentral. Lineage: Eukaryota; Viridiplantae; Streptophyta; Magnoliopsida; Poales; Poaceae.